AUUCAGCUGACGAGUCCCAAACAGGACGAAACGCGCGUCAUGGAU
Molecule: non-coding RNA, 45 nt
Organism: Schistosoma margrebowiei
Lineage: Eukaryota; Metazoa; Platyhelminthes; Trematoda; Strigeidida; Schistosomatidae
Source: Rfam